RNAcentral lists this ribosomal RNA (510 nucleotides) under uncultured bacterium. RNAcentral's name for it is "bacterial SSU rRNA". It matches the Rfam family "Bacterial small subunit ribosomal RNA", at positions 36 to 518 of the family's 1533-position model. The record is from RNAcentral.
CUGGCGGCGUGCCUAAUACAUGCAAGUCGAACGGUCCUUCUAUGGAAGCUUGCUUCCACUGAGAAGAUAGUGGCGAACGGGUGAGUAACACGUGGGUAACCUGCCCAUAAGAGGGGGGAUAACAUCCGGAAACGGGUGCUAAUACCGCAUAGUUUUCUUGAUCGCAUGAUCGGGAAAGGAAAGACGGCCUUUGUGCUGUCGCUUAUGGAUGGACCCGCGGCGUAUUAGUUAGUUGGUGAGGUAAUGGCUCACCAAGACGAUGAUACGUAGCCGACCUGAGAGGGUGAUCGGCCACAUUGGGACUGAGACACGGCCCAAACUCCUACGGGAGGCAGCAGUAGGGAAUCUUCCGCAAUGGACGAAAGUCUGACGGAGCAACGCCGCGUGAGUGAAGAAAGGUUUUCGGAUCGUAAAACUCUGUUGUCAGAGAAGAACAAGUUGGAGAGUAACUGCUCCAGCCUUGACGGUAUCUGACCAGAAAGCCACGGCUAACUACGUGCCAGCCGCUGC